This 95-nucleotide ribosomal RNA is filed under the name Alkalibaculum sporogenes. RNAcentral describes it as "Alkalibaculum sp. M08DMB partial 23S ribosomal RNA". It matches the Rfam family "Bacterial large subunit ribosomal RNA", at positions 1 to 94 of the family's 2925-position model. Lineage: Bacteria; Bacillati; Bacillota; Clostridia; Eubacteriales; Eubacteriaceae. The record is from RNAcentral.
AGGUCAAGUUAAUAAGGGCAUAGGGAGAAUGCCUUGGCACUGAGAGCCGAAGAAGGACGUGACAAGCUGCGAAAAGCUGCGUGUAGGUGCAAAUA